This 467-nucleotide ribosomal RNA is filed under the name uncultured bacterium. RNAcentral describes it as "partial 16S ribosomal RNA". It matches the Rfam family "Bacterial small subunit ribosomal RNA", at positions 28 to 507 of the family's 1533-position model. The record is from RNAcentral.
GAUGAACGCUGGCGGCGUGCUUAACACAUGCAAGUCGAACGGAAAGGCCCUGCUUUUGUUGGGUGCUCGAGUGGCGAACGCGUGAGUAACACGUGAGUAACCUGCCCUUGACUUUGGGAUAACUUCAGGAAACUGGGGCUAAUACCGGAUAUGAUCUCCUGCACCAUGGGGUGGGUUGGAAAAUUUCGGCGGUUGGGUAUGGACUCGAGGCUUAUCAGCUUGUUGGUGGGGUAGUGGCUUACCCAGGCUUUGACGGGUAGCCGGCCUGGGAGGGUGACCGGCUCCAGUGGGCCUGGGGUAGCGCCAGGAGUGCUACGGGAGGAAUGGGCGGAGACCAUAGCACGCUGGGCGGAAGCCGGAAGGAGCAACGUCGCGUGGGGAAUCACGGUUAUUAGGUAGGAAACAGCUUUUGCGUGUGACAAGCGGGAGUGACGGUAAUGGGUAAAGAAGCACCGGCUAACUACGUG